This 490-nucleotide ribosomal RNA is filed under the name uncultured bacterium. Its description in RNAcentral is "partial 16S ribosomal RNA". It matches the Rfam family "Bacterial small subunit ribosomal RNA", at positions 30 to 507 of the family's 1533-position model. The record is from RNAcentral.
AUUGAACGCUGGCGGCAGGCCUAACACAUGCCAGUCGAACGGUAACAGGAAGCAGCUUGCUGCUUCGCUGACGAGUGGCGGACGGGUGAGUAAUGUCUGGGAAGCUGCCUGAUGGAGGGGGAUAACUACUGGAAACGGUAGCUAAUACCGCAUAAUGUCGCAAGACCAAAGAGGGGGACCUUCGGGCCUCUUGCCAUCGGAUGUGCCCAGAUGGGAUUAGCUUGUUGGUGGGGUAACGGCUCACCAAGGCGACGAUCCCUAGCUGGUCUGAGAGGAUGACCAGCCACACUGGGACUGAGACACGGUCCAGACUCCUACGGGAGGCAGCAGUGGGGAAUAUUGCACAAUGGGCGCAAGCCUGAUGCAGCCAUGCCGCGUGUAUGAAGAAGGCCUUCGGGUUGUAAAGUACUUUCAGCGGGGAGGAAGGGAGUAAAGUUAAUACCUUUGCUCAUUGACGUUACCCGCAGAAGAAGCACCGGCUAACUCCGUG